CCUACGGGAGGCUGCAGUGGGGAAUAUUGGACAAUGGGGGGAACCCUGAUCCAGCCAUGCCGCGUGUGUGAAGAAGGCCCUCGGGUUGUAAAGCACUUUCAGUGAGGAAGAACGCCUGGUGGUUAAUACCCAUCAGGAAAGACAUCACUCACAGAAGAAGCACCGGCUAACUCCGUGCCAGCAGCCGCGGUAAUACGGAGGGUGCGAGCGUUAAUCGGAAUUACUGGGCGUAAAGCGCGCGUAGGUGGCUUGAUAAGCCGGUUGUGAAAGCCCCGGGCUCAACCUGGGAACGGCAUCCGGAACUGUCAAGCUAGAGUGCAGGAGAGGAGGGUAGAAUUCCCGGUGUAGCGGUGAAAUGCGUAGAGAUCGGGAGGAAUACCAGUGGCGAAGGCGGCCUUCUGGACUGACACUGACACUGAGGUGCGAAAGCGUGGGUAGCAAACAGGAUUAGAUACCCCGGUAGUC
Molecule: ribosomal RNA, 465 nt
Filed under: Vreelandella stevensii
Lineage: Bacteria; Pseudomonadati; Pseudomonadota; Gammaproteobacteria; Oceanospirillales; Halomonadaceae
Description: partial 16S ribosomal RNA
Rfam family: Bacterial small subunit ribosomal RNA
Source: RNAcentral